This 276-nucleotide ribosomal RNA is filed under the name uncultured prokaryote. Its description in RNAcentral is "partial 16S ribosomal RNA". It matches the Rfam family "Bacterial small subunit ribosomal RNA", at positions 524 to 801 of the family's 1533-position model. The record is from RNAcentral.
UACGUAGGGGCUAGCGUUAUCCGGAAUUACUGGGCGUAAAGGGUGCGUAGGUGGUUUCUUAAGUCAGAGGUGAAAGGCUACGGCUCAACCGUAGUAAGCCUUUGAAACUGGGAAACUUGAGUGCAGGAGAGGAGAGUGGAAUUCCUAGUGUAGCGGUGAAAUGCGUAGAUAUUAGGAGGAACACCAGUUGCGAAGGCGGCUCUCUGGACUGUAACUGACACUGAGGCACGAAAGCGUGGGGAGCAAACAGGAUUAGAUACCACGGUAGUCCCUGAG